GGGUUGUGAGGUUAAGCGACUAAGCGUACACGGUGGAUGCCCUGGCAGUCAGAGGCGAUGAAGGACGUGAUAGGUUAAUGAGGCGAACCGGGGGAACUGAAACAUCUAAGUACCCCGAGGAAAAGAAAUCAACCGAGAUUCCCCCAGUAGCGGCGAGCGAACGGGGAGGAGCCCAGAGCCUGAAUCAGUGUGUGUGUUAGUGGAAGCGUCUGGAAAGGCGCGCGAUACAGGGUGACAGCCCCGUACACAAAAAUGCACAUAUUGUGAGCUCGAUGAGUAGGGCGGGACACGUGGUAUCCUGUCUGAAUAUGGGGGGACCAUCCUCCAAGGCUAAAUACUCCUGACUGACCGAUAGUGAACCAGUACCGUGAGGGAAAGGCGAAAAGAACCCCGGCGAGGGGAGUGAAAAAGAACCUGAAACCGUGUACGUACAAGCAGUGGGAGCCUCUUUUAUGGGGUGACUGCGUACCUUUUGUAUAAUGGGUCAGCGACUUAUAUUCUGUAGCAAGGUUAACCGAAUAGGGGAGCCGAAGGGAAACCGAGUCUUAACUGGGCGUUAAGUUGCAGGGUAUAGACCCGAAACCCGGUGAUCUAGCCAUGGGCAGGUUGAAGGUUGGGUAACACUAACUGGAGGACCGAACCGACUAAUGUUGAAAAAUUAGCGGAUGACUUGUGGCUGGGGGUGAAAGGCCAAUCAAACCGGGAGAUAGCUGGUUCUCCCCGAAAGCUAUUUAGGUAGCGCCUCGUGAAYUCAUCUCCGGGGGUAGAGCACUGUUUCGGCAAGGGGGUCAUCCCGACUUACCAACCCGAUGCAAACUGCGAAUACCGGAGAAUGUUAUCACGGGAGACACACGGCGGGUGCUAACGUCCGUCGUGAAGAGGGAAACAACCCAGACCGCCAGCUAAGGUCCCAAAGUCAUGGUUAAGUGGGAAACGAUGUGGGAAGGCCCAGACAGCCAGGAUGUUGGCUUAGAAGCAGCCAUCAUUUAAAGAAAGCGUAAUAGCUCACUGGUCGAGUCGGCCUGCGCGGAAGAUGUAACGGGGCUAAACCAUGCACCGAAGCUGCGGCAGCGACACUAUGUGUUGUUGGGUAGGGGAGCGUUCUGUAAGCCUGUGAAGGUGURCUGUGAGGYAUGCUGGAGGUAUCAGAAGUGCGAAUGCUGACAUAAGUAACGAUAAAGCGGGUGAAAAGCCCGCUCGCCGGAAGACCAAGGGUUCCUGUCCAACGUUAAUCGGGGCAGGGUGAGUCGACCCCUAAGGCGAGGCCGAAAGGCGUAGUCGAUGGGAAACAGGUUAAUAUUCCUGUACUUGGUGUUACUGCGAAGGGGGGACGGAGAAGGCUAUGUUGGCCGGGCGACGGUUGUCCCGGUUUAAGCGUGUAGGCUGGUUUUCCAGGCAAAUCCGGAAAAUCAAGGCUGAGGCGUGAUGACGAGGCACUACGGUGCUGAAGCAACAAAUGCCCUGCUUCCAGGAAAAGCCUCUAAGCAUCAGGUAACAUCAAAUCGUACCCCAAACCGACACAGGUGGUCAGGUAGAGAAUACCAAGGCGCUUGAGAGAACUCGGGUGAAGGAACUAGGCAAAAUGGUGCCGUAACUUCGGGAGAAGGCACGCUGAUAUGUAGGUGAAGUCCCUCGCGGAUGGAGCUGAAAUCAGUCGAAGAUACCAGCUGGCUGCAACUGUUUAUUAAAAACACAGCACUGUGCAAACACGAAAGUGGACGUAUACGGUGUGACGCCUGCCCGGUGCCGGAAGGUUAAUUGAUGGGGUUAGCGCAAGCGAAGCUCUUGAUCGAAGCCCCGGUAAACGGCGGCCGUAACUAUAACGGUCCUAAGGUAGCGAAAUUCCUUGUCGGGUAAGUUCCGACCUGCACGAAUGGCGUAAUGAUGGCCAGGCUGUCUCCACCCGAGACUCAGUGAAAUUGAACUCGCUGUGAAGAUGCAGUGUACCCGCGGCAAGACGGAAAGACCCCGUGAACCUUUACUAUAGCUUGACACUGAACAUUGAGCCUUGAUGUGUAGGAUAGGUGGGAGGCUUWGAAGUGUGGACGCCAGUCUGCAUGGAGCCGACCUUGAAAUACCACCCUUUAAUGUUUGAUGUUCUAACGUUGACCCGUGAUCCGGGUUGCGGACAGUGUCUGGUGGGUAGUUUGACUGGGGCGGUCUCCUCCUAAAGAGUAACGGAGGAGCACGAAGGUUGGCUAAUCCUGGUCGGACAUCAGGAGGUUAGUGCAAUGGCAUAAGCCAGCUUGACUGCGAGCGUGACGGYGCGAGCAGGUGCGAAAGCAGGUCAUAGUGAUCCGGUGGUUCUGAAUGGAAGGGCCAUCGCUCAACGGAUAAAAGGUACUCCGGGGAUAACAGGCUGAUACCGCCCAAGAGUUCAUAUCGACGGCGGUGUUUGGCACCUCGAUGUCGGCUCAUCACAUCCUGGGGCUGAAGUAGGUCCCAAGGGUAUGGCUGUUCGCCAUUUAAAGUGGUACGCGAGCUGGGUUUAGAACGUCGUGAGACAGUUCGGUCCCUAUCUGCCGUGGGCGCUGGAGAACUGAGGGGGGCUGCUCCUAGUACGAGAGGACCGGAGUGGACGCAUCACUGGUGUUCGGGUUGUCAUGCCAAUGGCACUGCCCGGUAGCUAAAUGCGGAAGAGAUAAGUGCUGAAAGCAUCUAAGCACGAAACUUGCCCCGAGAUGAGUUCUCCCUGACYCYUURAGRGUCCUGAAGGAACGUUGAAGACGACGACGUUGAUAGGCCGGGUGUGUAAGCGCAGCGAUGCGUUGAGCUAACCGGUACUAAUGAACCGUGAGGCUUAACCUUACAACGCCGAAGCUGUU
Molecule: ribosomal RNA, 2825 nt
Filed under: Escherichia coli
Lineage: Bacteria; Pseudomonadati; Pseudomonadota; Gammaproteobacteria; Enterobacterales; Enterobacteriaceae
Description: bacterial LSU rRNA
Rfam family: Bacterial large subunit ribosomal RNA
Source: RNAcentral